AGCGAACGCUGGCGGCAGGCCUAACACAUGCAAGUCGAACGAACUCUUCGGAGUUAGUGGCGGACGGGUGAGUAACACGUGGGAACGUGCCUUUUGGUUCGGAAUAACUCAGGGAAACUUGUGCUAAUACCGAAUGUGCCCUUCGGGGGAAAGAUUUAUCGCCAUUAGAGCGGCCCGCGUCUGAUUAGCUAGUUGGUGAGGUAACGGCUCACCAAGGCGACGAUCAGUAGCUGGUCUGAGGGGAUGACCAGCCACACUGGGACUGAGACACGGCCCAGACUCCUACGGGAGGCAGCAGUGGGGAAUCUUGCGCAAUGGGCGAAAGCCUGACGCAGCCAUGCCGCGUGAAUGAUGAAGGUCUUAGGAUUGUAAAAUUCUUUCACCGGGGACGAUAAUGACGGUACCCGGGGAAGAAGCCCCGGCUAACUUCGUG
RNAcentral lists this ribosomal RNA (433 nucleotides) under uncultured bacterium. RNAcentral's name for it is "partial 16S ribosomal RNA". It matches the Rfam family "Bacterial small subunit ribosomal RNA", at positions 29 to 507 of the family's 1533-position model. The record is from RNAcentral.